RNAcentral lists this long non-coding RNA (655 nucleotides) under Oryza sativa tropical japonica subgroup. RNAcentral's name for it is "lncRNA OsKeNa_03g0023740". Lineage: Eukaryota; Viridiplantae; Streptophyta; Magnoliopsida; Poales; Poaceae. The record is from RNAcentral.
GUGACACGGGAGGCGAAACCCUACUACCGCCGUCAUCUCCCUUUCCCCCCUUACCCUUCCUCGCCGCUGGCAAAGCCGGCUGGUGACCUAGGAUGGCGGCGGCGGGGCUUUCUCGCAGUGGCGCCGUUUCUCUGCGCGAGGGAAGCGACAGUCGCCGGGGAGGGGGGGGAGGGGGGUUCUUCAGGCAGGGUGGCGGCAGAUCUGGCACCACCGCCGCCGGAUCUACAACGGCAGAGACCGAAAAGGUUCCGCACUCUUGAGGGAGUCUUGGGCGAAAGCUUUGCCUGGUCUUCCAGGUUCGAUGACAUCGACGCCAGCGGGUGCCGUUUCCUCCUUGGAGGUGUUGCCUUGUGGAUCUCUCCCCUUCGGGUAAAAACCCAGUCCAGUUUUUGGGCGGGCAUCGGCAGCGGCUCCUAUCGUUGUUUACCUCCUUGGAGGUUUCGCCUUGAAGGUCUUGCUCUUCCCUCGAUCACUUAUGUGGACAGCUGCGGCAGCAACCUUAGCUUCUACCCAGGCCAUAGGGGAGGAUUAGGCAAGGGUGUAAUGACUGGCCUCAGUGUGGGAAGCAGGCGCCGACAAGGGUGUCAAGGAAGUGCGACCUUUCUUUCAAGAAGGAGAUUUCAUCGAUGGAGGAUCGAGGUAUAGAUGGCCGAAA